Molecule: ribosomal RNA, 1477 nt
Filed under: metagenome
Description: bacterial SSU rRNA
Rfam family: Bacterial small subunit ribosomal RNA
Source: RNAcentral
AGAGUUUGAUCCUGGCUCAGGAUGAACGCUGGCGGCGUGCUUAACACAUGCAAGUCGAACGAAGCACUUUAUUUGAUUUCCUUCGGGACUGAUUAUUUUGUGACUGAGUGGCGGACGGGUGAGUAACGCGUGGGUAACCUGCCUUGUACAGGGGGAUAACAGUUGGAAACGGCUGCUAAUACCGCAUAAGCGCACAGCAUCGCAUGAUGCAGUGUGAAAAACUCCGGUGGUAUAAGAUGGACCCGCGUUGGAUUAGCUAGUUGGUGAGGUAACGGCCCACCAAGGCGACGAUCCAUAGCCGACCUGAGAGGGUGACCGGCCACAUUGGGACUGAGACACGGCCCAAACUCCUACGGGAGGCAGCAGUGGGGAAUAUUGCACAAUGGGCGAAAGCCUGAUGCAGCGACGCCGCGUGAGCGAAGUAGUAUUUCGGUAUGUAAAGCUCUAUCAGCAGGGAAGAUAAUGACGGUACCUGACUAAGAAGCACCGGCUAAAUACGUGCCAGCAGCCGCGGUAAUACGUAUGGUGCAAGCGUUAUCCGGAUUUACUGGGUGUAAAGGGAGCGUAGGCCGUCUUAUAAGCGUGUUGUGAAAUGUCGGGGCUCAACCUGGGCAUUGCAGCGCGAACUGUGAGACUUUAGUGCGCAGGAAGUAGGCGGAAUUCGUCGUGUAGCGGUGAAAUGCUUAGAUAUGACGAAGAACUCCGAUUGCGAAGGCAGCCUGCUGUAGCGCAACUGACGCUGAAGCUCGAAAGCGUGGGUAUCGAACAGGAUUAGAUACCCUGGUAGUCCACGCGGUAAACGAUGGAUGCUCGCUGUUUGCGUCUGACGUAAGCGGCCAAGCGAAAGCGUUAAGCAUCCCACCUGGGGAGUACGCCGGCAACGGUGAAACUCAAAGGAAUUGACGGGGGCCCGCACAAGCGGAGGAACAUGUGGUUUAAUUCGAUGAUACGCGAGGAACCUUACCCGGGCUUGAACUGUAGGCGAACGAUUCAGAGAUGAAGAGGCCCUUCGGGGCGCCUAUGGAGGUGCUGCAUGGUUGUCGUCAGCUCGUGCCGUGAGAUGUCGGCUUAAGUGCCAUAACGAGCGCAACCCUUGUUCGUAGUUGCCAUCGGUUAAAGCCGGGCACUCUGCGGAGACUGCCUCCGUAAGGAGUGAGGAAGGUGGGGAUGACGUCAAAUCAGCACGGCCCUUACGUCCGGGGCUACACACGUGUUACAAUGGCAUGUACAGAAAGCUGGGUGUAUGCAAAUACGCUCGAAUCCCUAAAACAUGUCUCAGUUCGGACUGGGGUCUGCAACCCGACCCCACGAAGCUGGAUUCGCUAGUAAUCGCGCAUCAGCCAUGGCGCGGUGAAUACGUUCCCGGGCCUUGUACACACCGCCCGUCAGCCAUGAAAGCCGGGGGCGCCUAAAGUCCGUGACCGCGAGGGUCGGCCUAGGGUGAAACCGGUGAUUGGGGCUAAGUCGUAACAAGGUA